GAUGUAAUGAACGAAAAUUAGGUGGCACGGCCAACCAUAUAAUAACGUAAAGAACAAAAAUUAGGUGGCAUAGCCAACCAUAUAAUAAUGUAAAGGACAAAAAUUAGGUGGCAUAGCCAACCAUAUAACAAAGAAACGACAGGUCGGGAGGCUCGGCCUUCCCUUUCAAGAAAGAAAAUAAACAGAAAAUAAAAACGAAGGAGGCUCGGCCUUCCUUUAAAGUAAAAUAACUAAAGUAAUAAGAUUGAAAAAGGAAC
Molecule: long non-coding RNA, 257 nt
Filed under: Olea europaea (common olive)
Lineage: Eukaryota; Viridiplantae; Streptophyta; Magnoliopsida; Lamiales; Oleaceae
Description: long non-coding RNA (OEUR_LNC015346)
Source: RNAcentral